Non-coding RNA from Mycena vulgaris, 94 nucleotides. The record is from the annotation of a GenBank genome assembly. Lineage: Eukaryota; Fungi; Basidiomycota; Agaricomycetes; Agaricales; Mycenaceae.
UCCGGAUUGGUGUAGGGGUUAACAUUGCCGCCUCUCAGCACGGCUACGUAAUGUGUGGUCGCGGCAGCCCGGGGUUCGAUUCCCCGAUCCGGAA